AUGGUCAUGUCUGCUGUUUUUUCGUUGUGAGGAGACAGUCAUGAAGCCCAGCCCACACCCAGGAGGAGGGAAGGGAAAGUUUAAACUUGGUUCAAGAUAGAUCCAACCCUGGGAAUCAGCAUUUCUGCUUCUCGUUCAUGCCCUUCCCACUCACUGUGCUCCUCUUCCUGCCAGAAACUUUGAGCUCAGAGGUAAAAGUAAUUUUGAGUUUUUAAGUAAAACUUUUCCUAUGAAAAUCUAAAUAAUACAGAAGUGCUUGGAAUAAAAGCUAACUUCUCUCUUUGAUUCCUCA
This 292-nucleotide long non-coding RNA is filed under the name Sus scrofa (pig). RNAcentral's name for it is "lncRNA (ENSSSCG00070021628.1)". The record is from RNAcentral. Lineage: Eukaryota; Metazoa; Chordata; Mammalia; Artiodactyla; Suidae.